RNAcentral lists this ribosomal RNA (254 nucleotides) under uncultured bacterium. RNAcentral's name for it is "partial 16S ribosomal RNA". It matches the Rfam family "Bacterial small subunit ribosomal RNA", at positions 524 to 776 of the family's 1533-position model. The record is from RNAcentral.
CACGUAGGGUGCGAGCGUUGUCCGGAAUUAUUGGGCGUAAAGAGCUCGUAGGCGGUGUGUCGCGUCGGCCGUGAAAACCUGCAGCUUAACUGUGGGCUUGCGGUCGAUACGGGCAUCACUGGAGUUCGGCAGGGGAGACUGGAAUUCCUGGUGUAGCGGUGAAAUGCGCAGAUAUCAGGAGGAACACCGGUGGCGAAGGCGGGUCUCUGGGCCGAUACUGACGCUGAGGAGCAAAAGCGUGGGGAGCGAACAGG